AAAUUUGAUCUCCUGCAAGAAUUCUAUCAAACCACUCUAAAGGCCCUUGAAGAGGCAAAGAAUGAGAGACUUUGGUUUAAGACAAAUCUAAAGCUUUGCAAGAUCUGGUUUGAUAUGGGUGAGUAUGGGCGAAUGAGCAAGAUUUUGAAGGAACUUCAUAAAUCUUGUAAAAGGGAAGAUGGGUAAGAUGAUCAAAAAAAAGGGAAGUCAGCUUCUGGAGGUAUAUGCAAUUGAAAUUCAAAUGUAUACGGAGACAAAAAACAACAAAAAGCUCAAG
Hibiscus syriacus is the source of this 277-nucleotide long non-coding RNA. RefSeq lists it as uncharacterized. Lineage: Eukaryota; Viridiplantae; Streptophyta; Magnoliopsida; Malvales; Malvaceae. The transcript has 3 exons. The record is from RefSeq and is a predicted model, not a curated record.